GAUGAACGCUGGCGGCGUGCCUAAUACAUGCAAGUCGAGCGAACAGACGAGGAGCUUGCUCCUCUGACGUUAGCGGCGGACGGGUGAGUAACACGUGGAUAACCUACCUAUAAGACUGGGAUAACUUCGGGAAACCGGAGCUAAUACCGGAUAAUAUAUUGAACCGCAUGGUUCAAUAGUGAAAGACGGUUUUGCUGUCACUUAUAGAUGGAUCCGCGCCGCAUUAGCUAGUUGGUAAGGUAACGGCUUACCAAGGCAACGAUGCGUAGCCGACCUGAGAGGGUGAUCGGCCACACUGGAACUGAGACACGGUCCAGACUCUUACGGGAGGAAGCAGUAGGGAAUCUUCCGCAAUGGGCGAAAGCCUGACGGAGCAACGCCGCGUGAGUGAUGAAGGUCUUCGGAUCGUAAAACUCUGUUAUUAGGGAAGAACAAAUGUGUAAGUAACUAUGCACGUCUUGACGGUACCUAAUCAGAAAGCCACGGCUAACUACGUG
Molecule: ribosomal RNA, 497 nt
Filed under: uncultured bacterium
Lineage: Bacteria
Description: partial 16S ribosomal RNA
Rfam family: Bacterial small subunit ribosomal RNA
Source: RNAcentral